This 24-nucleotide non-coding RNA is filed under the name Arabidopsis thaliana (thale cress). Lineage: Eukaryota; Viridiplantae; Streptophyta; Magnoliopsida; Brassicales; Brassicaceae. The record is from RNAcentral.
AGAAAAAGUGUCUAUUCCCUAUAA